CAGUCUGCGGGAAAUCCUCGUCUUGGCUCCAAUCAUCAGAAAACCUGUUCUUUACCACAGGUGGGAAGUUGCUACUAAAGCUAUGCCGCUUAUGAGGAAUCAGGCACGCGUCCUGAAUGAUCAUGCAUAUGGGGAGGAAUCUUAAUAACUUUCUAAGAGCCGUUGGGAAGAGGUGUGCAGCCGGAGCUUAUGGAUUAGAACACGUGGCUGGUGCAUGAACCUUGAAAUGAGGAGUGAAUGAAGGCAGGAGUUACUGGAAGGGAGGUCAGGAUUCAACAAAGACAACCAGACGGCUCUGUGUGGUGUUUGGAGAGCAGUCCCUGUUGAAGCUCUUCUGCAGCUCUUUACCAGCGUUCAAUUCAACCCAAGGAACCAAGAACCGAGGAGGAAGGAAGUAAUUGACAUUCAAAGUCUCUAUUUUUAGACACCUUUACACUUUCUUUUGCUUCUAACUAGCAAGGAUUUUUCCAAACAAGCUUUUAAUUAGCAG
This 490-nucleotide long non-coding RNA is filed under the name Equus asinus (donkey). RNAcentral's name for it is "lncRNA (ENSEASG00005033273.1)". Lineage: Eukaryota; Metazoa; Chordata; Mammalia; Perissodactyla; Equidae. The record is from RNAcentral.